GAUGAAGAACGUAGCGAAAUGCGAUAAGUAAUGUGAAUUGCAGAAUUCAGUGAAUCAUCGAAUCUUUGAACGCACAUUGCGCCCGGCAGUAAUCUGCCGGGCAUGCCUGUCCGAGCGUCAUUUCACCCCUCGAGCCGCGUUUAGUGGAUCGGUGUUGGGGCACUACGGUAAAACGUAGGCCCUGAAAUGAAGUGGCGGUCCCGCCGCGGUGCCCCCAUGCGUAGUAACGUUUAGUCUCGCAUCGGGUCCCGGCGGAGGCCUGCCGUCAAGCCUAUUUAUUCUCAGAAUAGUUUGACCUCGGAUCAGGUAGGGUUACCCGCUGAACUUAAGCAUAUCAAUAAGCGGAGGA
Molecule: unclassified non-coding RNA, 349 nt
Filed under: soil metagenome
Description: partial contains 5.8S ribosomal RNA, internal transcribed spacer 2, and large subunit ribosomal RNA
Rfam family: 5.8S ribosomal RNA (bases 1-120)
Source: RNAcentral